AAGCGGAGGAAAAGAAACUAACAAGGAUUCCCCUAGUAGCGGCGAGCGAAGCGGGAAAAGCUCAAAUUUGUAAUCUGGCGUCUUCGACGUCCGAGUUGUAAUCUCGAGAAGUGUUUUCCGUGAUAGACCGCAUACAAGUCUCUUGGAACAGAGCGUCAUAGUGGUGAGAACCCAGUACACGAUGCGGAUGCCUAUUACUUUGUGAUACACUUUCGAAGAGUCGAGUUGUUUGGGAAUGCAGCUCAAAUUGGGUGGUAAAUUCCAUCUAAAGCUAAAUAUUGGCGAGAGACCGAUAGCGAACAAGUACCGUGAGGGAAAGAUGAAAAGCACUUUGGAAAGAGAGUUAACAGUACGUGAAAUUGUUGGAAGGGAAACACAUGCAGUGAUACUUGCUAUUCGGGGCAACUCGAUUGGCAGGCCCGCAUCAGUUUUUCGGGGCGGAAAAUCGUAGAGAGAAGGUAGCAGUUUCGGCUGUGUUAUAGCUCUUUACUGGAUUCGCCCUGGGGGACUGAGGAACGCAGCGUGCUUUUAGCAUGAGCUUCGGCUUAUCCACGCUUAGGAUGCGGGUUUAUGGCUGUAUAUGACCCGUCUUGAAACACGGACCAAGGAGUCUAACAUGCUUGCGAGUAUUUGGGUGUCAAACCCGGAUGCGCAAUGAAAGUGAAUGGAGGUGGGAAGCGCAAGCUGCACCAUCGACCGAUCUGGAUUUUUUAAGAUGGAUUUGAGUAAGAGCAAGUAUGUUGGGACCCGAAAGAUGGUGAACUAUGCCUGAAUAGGGCGAAGCCAGAGGAAACUCUGGUGGAGGCUCGUAGCGGUUCUGACGUGCAAAUCGAUCGUCAAAUUUGGGUAUAGGGGCGAAAGACUAAUCGAACCA
Molecule: ribosomal RNA, 874 nt
Filed under: Sporobolomyces pararoseus
Lineage: Eukaryota; Fungi; Basidiomycota; Microbotryomycetes; Sporidiobolales; Sporidiobolaceae
Description: eukaryotic LSU rRNA
Rfam family: Eukaryotic large subunit ribosomal RNA
Source: RNAcentral